Molecule: long non-coding RNA, 405 nt
Organism: Rhododendron vialii
Lineage: Eukaryota; Viridiplantae; Streptophyta; Magnoliopsida; Ericales; Ericaceae
Exons: 3
Source: RefSeq, a predicted model, not a curated record
CUAAUAACGCGUUCAUCACCCUUUCGUGAUUGAACUCAGUGUUCAAAAAUGUGACUUUGAAACCAUGGUGUACCAGGCAUUGCGCAAGCUCUAGCAGUGGAAUUACAUGGCCUUGUGCAGGAUAAGUGAUGUCUGAGGGAAAAUAAAUCCCGAAUACCUACAAGUGUACAACCACCCAAAAGUGGAGGUAUAAGAUAACCCGUUACAUUGCCAGAAAGAGUUGAGCACAAGAUCUCUAGAUUUAUCAUCGGUCUCGAUUACAACCUUUAACCGCAGGGCUACCCUGAGAAAUCAAGAGUUAGUUAAGAGGUAUUACCAUAACUGUCUAUAAUACCAUCAGCAAUCAGUUCUGGAAUGCUGAAUCCCAAAGCCCAUAGAGCAGCUGCAGCAGGGUAAAAGACCGCU